GCCUUCGUGGUGUAGUGGUUAACACGCUCGACUCGUAUUCGAGAGGUCCGUGGUUCGAGUCCUGGCGAGGGCG
Molecule: transfer RNA, 73 nt
Filed under: Stegodyphus mimosarum
Lineage: Eukaryota; Metazoa; Arthropoda; Arachnida; Araneae; Eresidae
Description: tRNA-Thr for anticodon CGU
Rfam family: tRNA
About the family: Transfer RNA (tRNA) molecules are approximately 80 nucleotides in length.
Source: Rfam by way of RNAcentral